GUGUCAGCAGCCGCGGUAAGACAGAGGCCUCAAGCGUUAGGCGGAAUCACUGGGCUUAAAGCGUGUGUAGGCGGAUCGUUAAGUACCUUGUGAAAUCCCACGGCUCACCCGUGGAACUGCUGGGUAUACUGGCGGUCUUGGGCCAACUAGGGGCAGCUGGAACAAGCGGUGGAGCGGUGAAAUGCGUAGAUAUCGCUUGGAACGCCGAAGGUGAAAACAGGCUGCUGGGGUUGUGCCGACGCUGAGACACGAAAGCCAGGGGAGCAAACGGGAUUAGAAACCCGAGUAGUCC
This 292-nucleotide ribosomal RNA is filed under the name uncultured bacterium. RNAcentral's name for it is "partial 16S ribosomal RNA". It matches the Rfam family "Bacterial small subunit ribosomal RNA", at positions 505 to 796 of the family's 1533-position model. The record is from RNAcentral.